This 101-nucleotide ribosomal RNA is filed under the name Klebsiella pneumoniae. Lineage: Bacteria; Pseudomonadati; Pseudomonadota; Gammaproteobacteria; Enterobacterales; Enterobacteriaceae. RNAcentral also lists the same sequence under 5 other names. The record is from RNAcentral.
CCUGGCGGCACUAGCGCGGUGGUCCCACCUGACCCCAUGCCGAACUCAGAAGUGAAACGCCGUAGCGCCGAUGGUAGUGUGGGGUCUCCCCAUGUGAGAGU